RNAcentral lists this ribosomal RNA (395 nucleotides) under uncultured bacterium. RNAcentral's name for it is "partial 16S ribosomal RNA". It matches the Rfam family "Bacterial small subunit ribosomal RNA", at positions 523 to 916 of the family's 1533-position model. The record is from RNAcentral.
AUACGUAGGGGGCGAGCGUUGUCCGGAAUGAUUGGGCGUAAAGGGCGCGUAGGCGGCGCGGUAAGUCUGGAGUAAAAGUCCUGCUUUCGAGGUGGGAAUUGCUUUGGAUACUGCCGCGCUUGAGUGCAGGAGAGGUUAUCGGAAUUCCCGGUGUAGCGGUGAAAUGCGUAGAGAUCGGGAGGAACACCAGUGGCGAAGGCGGGUAACUGGACUGCAACUGACGCUGAGGCGCGAAAGUGUGGGGAGCAAACAGGAUUAGAUACCCUGGUAGUCCACACUGUAAACGAUGAAUGCUAGGUGUAAGAGGUAUCGACCCCUUUUGUGCCGGAGUCAACACAAUAAGCAUUCCGCCUGGGGAGUACGGCCGCAAGGUUGAAACUCAAAUGAAUUGACGG